AAAGCUGAUGUUGUGCAGGGGAAAAGAAAAAAUAAUAAUUAAAAAAAAAAUCAUGAUUAUGGCAGAAAAGAGCAUCCCUGAGUGGCCGGGCUCUGUCACUAACCCCUGCUGCUUGUGUAGCCCCCAUGAAAGUAAGAAGAAAAGUGUGGUUUCCCUGGCGUGGGAAGCCAGCCAGGGCUGGGAGCUGAGCACAGGGGGAAAACAGUGCGGGCGGUGGGACCUGUGGCUGGCAUUCAGCAAGCCAGAGAAAUAACUCAGCACCAGCUGAACCUGCUGCUUUUUGGCAGCUCCUGCCCAACUUCAAACCUUGCUCUUGCAUCUGUUCUGCCUCCUGGUGCCCCUGCCUGACCCACUGUUGGUCACAUUGGCCCCAAGCCCUAGGAGGGGCUUCCCUUGCCCCCCGUCAGCCCUCCCCAAACCCCCCACGGGAUCCCCGAGCUGUCUCGAUGCUCCUGCUCUCCGAGCCCCACGGGUGACGCAGCGCCUCCAGGACCUGCCCGCAGCAGCCCCACAAAAUGCCUCAAGAAGGGGGGCUGCCGGAGGGUGCCGAAAGCAGGACCGUCAUGGGGGGGCUCAGCCUGCCCCUGAAGAAGCGGGACAUGACAGCGAGGAAGGCGCUGCCGGCCCCGGUCAGCCCCAGGCACUGGGGCUCCACGCCAGCUCCAGGUGCCUGGGUGCUGCCGGGGGGCCCCGGGGCUGCCUGCCCCUCGCCCCAGCGUCCACCCCUCUGCGCGAGGCCGGUGGCUCCUGCAGGCACCCAGCAGCCGUGGGCACGAUGCACCCUGCCCGGGCACACGAGGGACCCCAGCUCCACCACAGGCACUGCUGAUGGGGCAGCGGGGGGCUGCCCUCAGCCCCUGGACAUCGCCACCACCUGCAGAAGGGGCUGGGGCACCCCCCGAGGCUGUCCCGGGGCCGGGAGCUGCCUGCACGCCCCAGCCUGGAUGUCCCCCAGCAGGCAGCACGGGGACAGGCAGGACGUGGGGAUGGGGAUGGUGGGGGCCCCGCCAGGGCUCUGGUCUGCAGCCAGCCCGGUGGCACCAGCUGGGGCUGGGAGUACAGGGGGCACAGAGCUGGGCUGGGGGCUCCCCCCGGCAACCCCAUUGCCCACAGGCAGUGUCCCCAGGGCAUGGGUGUAUUAUGGACUGGCAGUGGGUACGGGCAAGCUGAGCAGGGCAGCUGCCAGCCUGCACGAUGCCAGUGUCCCCCCACCCACACCAAACCCCUCGGAGCCCCCCAGCCCCUCACCUCCACCUUCCACCAGCGCUGCCCCUCCGCAGCCCCCUCCCAGGGCGGCUUCCCCGCAGGGGACAGGCGAGGAGCAGCCACCUGCUGACACGGGGGCUGUCCCCACGAUGCCCACCCCGGUGCCUGCCCACAUUUCCACCUCCCCGGGGCUGACCCCCACAGCACCGUCCCACGCAUUGCUCUACUCCCAGCCGCUCUGCCCCGCAGUCGCGUACCGGCAGUGCCGAGCCCCGGCCGGCACCGGGGGGGCUCUGGGCCAUGCUGCUGCCCACGGCCAGCACGGCCUUCGUGCUGCCCCACUUCCAGCGGGGCUCCCUGGCGGUGCUGCCCGGCGGUGAGCAGAGGAAGGUGGAGGAGCUGCGGGAGGAGGAUUUCCUGCAGUGCGCGGCGGCCGGCACUGAGCUGUGCAUCAGCUCGUGCGUGGUGCGGGGCAUCCAGAGGAGCUCGCACGCCGGCUUCGCCUCCCUGAGGGUCUGCCUCAGGGAGCAGGACGGGCAGGUCUCAGUGGAGGUGCUCCAGGAGUUCCCCUUCUUCGCCCGGCACCGGGGCUGGGUGUCCUGCUGCCCGCACAGGACCUGCCAGCUCUACCAGCUCCCGUGCCAGCAGCUGGCCGUCGGGGACAUCUGCAUGGUGUGGAGCCCGAGGAGGCAGGGACAUGACAUCCACAGGGCUCAGCAAGAGCCUCCUGGGGAGCGCUAGCCCUGGUGGCCACCGCGUGCCCCCGAGGGGCAUGGCCAAGGAGCCGGGCACGGCCGGGCGGUGCGGCCCCGCUCCCCACGCUGAGCUGGCCCCCGCGCUGCGGGGAUGCUCAUUUCUCAGCAGCCACAUUCCUUCGAGGGUGUUUAUGGCUUUGCUGUCUCCCCGCUGUCCCAGACUAAAAUCUCCCCUUUUAAGGGAGCCUCGGGAACUCGGUCGCUGGAGUUUCACAGGCUGCUCCCUCGCAAUUUAUUGCCUCGGGGAAAAAAAAAAAAAAAGAAAGAAAAAAAAAGCCUUGUUUUUCUCUUUGCUCCACGAUUUACUGAGCGAGUCAAGCUGCGUCUCAUUCCCAGCGCUGCGUGUAAAGAAUAAGAUCUAUUUUCACCACCGAGUGAUUCACCUGCCUGGCACCAGCUCACCUUUCACUUAGCAGCUGUCUCCCCGCGCAGCUCCAUCCUCGCCUCCCGCCCCGCAGCACCCUGACUCACCUCCUGUUUUCUACAGACCUGUAAUAGAAGGGAGAAACCUGACCAGCAGCAGCAGGAGGAACGAGUCACGUUGCGUUUUCUCCUGAUGACGGGCACGCUUUGAUGCUGGCUUCCCCGGGGACCUUUGGCAGGAGCUGAGCUCUGUGUCCUGGAAAGAAGAUGUGUCAUUUCCUACCUGGGCUGGCGACCCGGACCUCCAGGGAACACCUCCCAGGGACCUGGGAAUUGCAGUUAGGGCGAGUGCUGGUGACACACGACAAUGCCAUGAGCCUGCACCCGCGGCACCAGCGAUGCAGGAUGCUGCUGCGGGUAGGGGCAGACCCUGCGGGCAUCUCCCAGGGGCCGGCGAGGCUUGUAGUAGGGAGCCCGGGGAACAGGUGGAGACUCCCCACCACCUUCGGUGUCCCCUCCGACCUCCUGCCUUUUGGCUGGGGGCAGGCACGCCUGGCCAGGAGCAAAACUCAUUACGUGGGGCUGGCUUGCCUGCGUGCGUAUAAUGGGACUAAAAUGGGUGCCCCGCUGCGCAGCACGGCUUGUGCUGAAGAGCCGGGAUGAGUCAGUCUCUGUGCGGAUGAUAUCAGAGCUUCGCCAGCCCCCUCCCCGCCAGGCGGGACGGAGGGGACGCAGCAGCGGGGUGCCCGUGUGUGGGGCCUCUCGGUGCUGCCGGUGCCGUCACUACCGUGGGGAUUUGGGGAGCCGCAGGGAGCUCGUGAGCACAGAAACGGCCUCAAUGCCUCGCAGGGGAAAGCGGUGCCAAUCGGCGCAGACAUCUCACAUAGCAGAGACCUGAGCUAAUUCCCUGGCCCUGCCUCUCGCCUCCCCAUCGGCAGGGCCGGGCAGGGCCGAGGGGUCAGCAGCAGGGACAGCUGAUGUUGAGCACGCUGCCCGGACACGUGCUGGGCACUCGGAGCUGGGGGCAAGCGAGGGCCGGCGGCUGCCCUGAGAGCCUCCCCCUUCCUGCCACCAUCCUGUGAGCAAAGCUCAUCCCUCGCACCCAGCGGCACCCACGGGAGCUGAAGCCAGCAGCUGUGGGCAAGAGUGGGGGGUGCGGGAACGGGUCCCCAGCUCAAACCCGCUUUCAGCAGCAGGCGGCAAUUUGGGGACAGCAAAGGGACAGUAGCCAAAGCAGAGCUGGGACGCAAACAAUACCCAGUUAUCUCCAGCCAUGCAGACAGCGAGAUAAACAGGCUGAGAGGGGCCGGCAGGACGUGCCACAGACACUGGGAACUCCCUUGGCAGAGGCCUGGAGCAGCCUGCGUGCAGGGCUGGUGCUGGGCAUGGAGGGCAACGAGUCACCCGCUGGGAGCAGCCCUGCUGAAAGUGGGCAAAACACCCCAAAAGGGGAUUUUGGGGGUGCUGCUGGGGCAAGUCAGGGCGAGCUGCAGAAGGAGUCCACGGCCUGGCCACAGAGCGAGCUGUCCGAGCUGCGUCAGCUGGCCGCUUGGGAAGAAAAGCA
This is an RNA transcript of Oxyura jamaicensis (ruddy duck), 3888 nucleotides long. It is a transcript of the gene named ataxin-1-like, with no coding region annotated. The record is from RefSeq and is a predicted model, not a curated record. The transcript has 3 exons. NCBI's taxonomy places the organism in Eukaryota, Metazoa, Chordata, Aves, Anseriformes, Anatidae.